UACGUAGGGUGCGAGCGUUUAAUCGGAAUUACUGGGCGUAAAGCGUGCGCAGGCGGUGAUGUAAGACCGAUGUGAAAUCCCCGGGCUUAACCUGGGAACUGCAUUGGUGACUGCAUUGCUGGAGUAUGGCAGAGGGGGGUGGAAUUCCACGUGUAGCAGUGAAAUGCGUAGAGAUGUGGAGGAACACCGAUGGCGAAGGCAGCCCCCUGGGCCAAUACUGACGCUCAUGCACGAAAGCGUGGGGAGCAAACAGG
This 254-nucleotide ribosomal RNA is filed under the name uncultured bacterium. RNAcentral describes it as "partial 16S ribosomal RNA". It matches the Rfam family "Bacterial small subunit ribosomal RNA", at positions 524 to 776 of the family's 1533-position model. The record is from RNAcentral.